UGGGGAAUAUUGCACAAUGGGCGCAAGCCUGAUGCAGCCAUGCCGCGUGUAUGAAGAAGGCCUUCGGGUUGUAAAGUACUUUCAGUCGGGAGGAAGGUGUCAAGGUUAAUAACCUUGGCAAUUGACGUUACCGACAGAAGAAGCACCGGCUAACUCCGUGCCAGCAGCCGCGGUAAUACGGAGGGUGCAAGCGUUAAUCGGAAUUACUGGGCGUAAAGCGCACGCAGGCGGUUGAUUGAGUCAGAUGUGAAAUCCCCGGGCUCAACCUGGGAACUGCAUCUGAUACUGGCAAGCUUGAGUCUCGUAGAGAGGGGUAGAAUUCCAGGUGUAGCGGUGAAAUGCGUAGAGAUCUGGAGGAAUACCGGUGGCGAAGGCGGCCCCCUGGACGAAGACUGACGCUCAGGUGCGAAAGCGUGGGGAGCAAACAGG
This 429-nucleotide ribosomal RNA is filed under the name Chloroflexota bacterium. RNAcentral's name for it is "Chloroflexi bacterium partial 16S ribosomal RNA". It matches the Rfam family "Bacterial small subunit ribosomal RNA", at positions 355 to 776 of the family's 1533-position model. Lineage: Bacteria; Bacillati; Chloroflexota. The record is from RNAcentral.